Lactuca sativa (garden lettuce) is the source of this 1058-nucleotide long non-coding RNA. RefSeq lists it as uncharacterized. The record is from RefSeq and is a predicted model, not a curated record. Lineage: Eukaryota; Viridiplantae; Streptophyta; Magnoliopsida; Asterales; Asteraceae.
ACCAUAUGUGUCAUGGAUUUAUUUCUUUGCUUAAAUAUUUGGACAAUGUGUUAGGCCUUUUGUUUCAUUUUGACUUAUGUUUGUAAUACUUGUUCUAGAUUGACCACAACAUAAUUCUUGGUACCCGAUUUAUGCAUAUAUCAUUGUAUUAUUUGUAUUAUUGGAUACAUGUUGUUUAUCUGUUAUCCAAUGCUUACAUUGCAACCUGGAGUUUUCGCUGAUGGUCGAGGUGUGACACUGUCCUCCUCCGCCAGUAUCACCGUGAUACGUUUGGACCGCCUUAGAUUGCUGGGAGGAGACACGGAUGCUCGUUCUAUUCUCGAACGUUCGACAAAAAACUUGAAAGCCCUGCAAUCUUUUAUUUCACUCGCUUAUCGCUCAAUCUCCUAUGAAAGACUGUACAACAUAGUUGGUGAUUCCGAUAGUGACGAAGGUAUUGGAUUCGAACGUUCCCAAAUCAAAUGCCAACAAUUCCAUCUCAGGUUUUCGAUUUCUUCCACGAUUAGGGUUCUGAUUGACUGUUCCAAACUUCCAAUUUCCAUUUGGGUUUGCUUUUAAGAAUCUGAAGCUCCGAUACUGUGUAUAAGAAAUCCCUAGUAUGUCGAUGUUAAUUUUUUGGAACGGGUUUCCCGGUUUUGACAUUUCAUCGAUAUACCAAUUCAGUGUCUUUGGGCUUUGAUGUUGUCAUACAACACUCGUACAACUACUAGGAUAUUUCUCGGAAACUGGAAAGAUGAUAGAUGCAAUAAUAGACAGCAAAGGAGCAUUGUUUCAAUGUUGAAGAAGGCCAACUGUUAGAAUGUUCGAGUAAACCAACUAGCCUGCAGAGGUUGUGGAGUGUCGACCAGGUAGGGAACCCAUCAAAAAUAGCAAGUGGCAAAAGGAGGGAUUCACACACAUGGCAACUUUUGACUUUGCUAUGUAUUUAUGCUUAAUGUAUGUGUCAAUUUUCUAUUCAUGCUCUAUGUAACAUGGAAGCAAUUAGAAAAGUCAAGAGACUUGAACAAAUUAAUAUGGCUUAUUUGAGUGGAUAUCAUAUCAUGCUUGAAAUUUUUCUA